GGCGGGGUAGCGCGCUGGUCUGUUUUUGGGCCACGGGAUGGCGACUCCGGGAAAUCGAGGUCUCGUGCUGGGGCGAAAGGUGUGGCUGCAGGAGCCAAAUCCAAAUGAGCGGACCACGUACUUCAGGGUUUUAACCUGAGCGAAACAGGAAUGUCUUGGGUCUUAACAGGACCGUCCGCCCGCUCGGAAGAGGCGAAAAGCCCACGGCAGACGUCUGGGUGUGCGAAUGUCAGUUGAGCGGGGCCUGGAGGAGGCGUCACACACAGUGAGGAUUUGAGGAGGGAAGCGCCUUCCAGGCAGAACGGUUUCUGGGUUGAGAGAACCCAAAGUUCAGUAAAUGUGAAGAAGAUCUUUCAUAGUAGCCCCCAAAGAAGAGAGAGGAAGCUUGACUUUUCAGAAGGACUCAAGACUCCUGGAUAAUACUGUAUGUGCUGCAAUGACUACCAGUGUGAUCAUACCUCCCCGUCACCACAUCUUUGUGCAUGUCACUCGCACACUGAGUCUGGGCUUGAACGUGUGACUGACUUUGGCCAUACCUUUUUAUGUGAUGCAAGCAGAGAUUUGAAAAUUGUUCUUUGGAACCUUAGACCUCCAUGUGAGAAGCAUGAAGAUGGAGAGACCAUGUGGAGCAGAAAUGAGCUGUCCUAGAUAAGCGCCACCUCAUUCCUAUGACCAACUGGCCGUCCUUAGACCUAGACCAUUGGAUCUUAGCUGAACCAGUCCAGACCUGAAGAACCACUCAGCCAACUGACAGAACUGUGAGAAGUAAAAAGAAGUUUGUUGUUUUAAACUAUUCCACUAAAUUUUGGGAUAGUUUGGUUUUGUAGCAAAAGCAAGUUUACACACUGGGUUGCUUGUCUAUCCCUGACCCAAUCACUAUGCGAGAGGGAUUGGCUCAUUGGAUUAAGCCAGUUAGGACUAUCCUUGAAGGUGGCCUUAGAGUCAAUCCCACUCAAACUGUUUGGCGAAGAACAGGGAGAUUCCCUGAGGAAUCUGUUUCAGGACAGGAGUUUGGUUCCUGAUUGUCUCAUCCUUCAGGCAUGUGCAGGCCUGAGGAA
Non-coding RNA from Macaca mulatta (Rhesus monkey), 1058 nucleotides. NCBI's taxonomy places the organism in Eukaryota, Metazoa, Chordata, Mammalia, Primates, Cercopithecidae. The record is from RefSeq and is a predicted model, not a curated record.